UGCUCUUCCUUUUUCUGGGAUAGAGCAUGAGACUCUUAAUCUCAAGGUCGUGGGUUCAAGCCCCACAAUGGGCAA
Podarcis lilfordi (Lilford's wall lizard) is the source of this 75-nucleotide non-coding RNA. The record is from the annotation of a GenBank genome assembly. NCBI's taxonomy places the organism in Eukaryota, Metazoa, Chordata, Lepidosauria, Squamata, Lacertidae.